UCAGAAAUUCAAGUUCUGAUGAGUCGACACGUGUCACUACUGAACGAGAACUCAUCCGUGUUUCUGAUGGAAUUUUCUACGCAUAUGUAUUAUGUGGGUUUGCAAAUAUUAAAUUGGGCUGAAACCUUAAUGAGUAUUGAUUCUUUAUAAUUUUCAUUCUGUAUGGGCUUUAUUGGGCUAUUCAUUUGUUAUUUAGUUUUAUAUCGGAGCCCUAUAGAUUGAGAGUGAAUUGAUAUAGAAAAUUAGGGUUGUCGUCUUCUUCAGUCUGAAGAUUCCCUGUGUCAACAAUGGAAUUUCAGCAUUUCGAUCGAGUGAUACGAAACGUAACGAAGAAACUUUGGUGUCAAGUUUCGAUGGAGUCGAAUCGUCUAUGAUUCCUAUCUUCUGAGAUGUUACAAGAUGUCUUCAUUCAUCGCCUUUAAGAAGCCUCUUAAUUCCAUUGACGUACAUCAACGAUUUAUCAUUCAAUGCUGCUUAUCCAUCCUAUAGUCGGUGUUUCUCUUCCUAUAAAACGUGUAAUGGUUUGCGAGUUGAUGAGGAUGGAAUGGAUAUGCUCCUCCUUGAUUCAAAGGUUUUACCAUUCUUAAACUCAUGAUCAUUGUAUUUUAAAACUGUUCAUACUUUCAUAUUCAUAAAGUAUGUAACUUUUAUAUUCAGAUCUUUGUUGAAUCUUUUUUGAAUUUGUUUUUUAGCACGGUUUGUUGGUUAUGCGUUCUUCUUCACAUUUGUUUCAGUCAACGCUCCUGCCUGCCACCGUUAAUGUUAACCGUCUCGCCACUUUCCGACACCACUUCAAGGCUGGUUCAAUGUUCACAUUCAGCAGAUUUGAUAUGACUUGGUGCAAUAAGAACUACAGGCUAUCCGAUUCUCCACUAUCCAUUCGGUUUAUGUUAUUCAACCAACUUUCCAUGCGUUAACCAAACCAGUUCUCCAAUCCCGAUUCGGUUUUUCGGGAUCACGAUUUGCUUCUUGGACUAGCCAGUACGGACACGCAUCUUCUAGUUAUUGACGUUCUCCAGGGAAAAGAACGUGUCAUGGCAACUAUCAAACUGGUGGUGAAUCUGUGAUUCCGAGUCUGUUUGACUUACAAGGACGUCUUCUUGAAUGCCAUUUUCCGACAAAGAGACUAAUGCAGGGGAGAACAUUAACUGUGGGAACAUCUUCAAGUGGUCGCAUCUACAAAAGGUGGACGUAAGUGGUAAGAUCGUAUGAAAUCAGCAACUGUGGGAACAUCUUCAAGUGGUCUCACAUCCAAAAGGCUCCAGCAACACCAACUACUAAGGUGGCCAAUAAGGCACGAGUGGCUUAGGUGAAGAUAAUAAAUUACUUGGAUGCAGUACUUUUAGAAUAAUGCUUAUGCAUCGAUGUUGUUUUCUUUUUUCUUUAACCUUUGAGUACUUACUGGGUUUUGAUAUGUUUUCAAAACUAUCUACCAAAUGCUUAUUUAUCAAAUUUAUCACAUCUCAUUAAAUAAAUAAGAUUGGGUUCACAUGCUA
Molecule: long non-coding RNA, 1496 nt
Organism: Brassica napus (rape)
Lineage: Eukaryota; Viridiplantae; Streptophyta; Magnoliopsida; Brassicales; Brassicaceae
Exons: 5
Source: RefSeq, a predicted model, not a curated record